This 298-nucleotide signal recognition particle RNA is filed under the name Aotus nancymaae (Ma's night monkey). Its description in RNAcentral is "Metazoan signal recognition particle RNA (ENSANAG00000010058.1)". It matches the Rfam family "Metazoan signal recognition particle RNA". Rfam says of the family: The signal recognition particle (SRP) is a universally conserved ribonucleoprotein. It is involved in the co-translational targeting of proteins to membranes. The record is from RNAcentral. Lineage: Eukaryota; Metazoa; Chordata; Mammalia; Primates; Aotidae.
GCCAGGCGCAGUGGCACGUGCCUGUAGUCCCAGCUACUUGGGAGGCUGAGGUGGGGGAUCUCUAGAGCCCAGGAGUUCUGGGCUGUGGUGUGCUAUGCCGAUCAGGUGUCCGCAUUAAGUUCGGCAUCAAUAUGGUGACCUCCCGGGAGUGGGGGACCACCAGGUUGCCUAAGGAGGGGUGAACCAGUCCAGGUCAGAAACGGAGGAGGUCAAAACUCCCGUGCUGAUCAGUAGUGGGAUCGCGCCUGUGAACAGCCACUGCACUCCAGCCUGGGUAACAUAGUGAGACCCCGUCUCU